UCCUGUCUGUCUUAUUUCCUUUACAAUAUAAAUUAGCGAUUGAUAAAAACGUUCAUAAUGACUUUUGGUCCAAAAGAAUAGAAAUAUUAACAAAAGUCGGAGAAACCAGAAGAAAAAACUUAUCUUUGAUGAAAUGACCAAAAAUAACCAAAAAUUCCUCCAUGCACAGUUCUGGAGGAAAUGUUUCUAGUUUGAAAUCUCC
Non-coding RNA from Pelobates cultripes (western spadefoot toad), 202 nucleotides. The record is from the annotation of a GenBank genome assembly. Lineage: Eukaryota; Metazoa; Chordata; Amphibia; Anura; Pelobatidae.